AAAACAUGAGAAACCUGACCAGAGAUGCUAGCAAUGAUUUAUGUUCAAAGAUGGAACAUAGAUUCGAGACUUGUGAAGGGAGAAGAGACAAUUAGUGAUGAACAAAAUUCCAAAUCCUUUUAUUAAAAAUAGUGAUGUAUGUCAUCCAUGAGGGUACUAUAUUUUUUGUUUGACACAUUUAAUAUGAGCCAGUAGAAUACUUAUG
This 205-nucleotide long non-coding RNA is filed under the name Hordeum vulgare. RNAcentral's name for it is "long non-coding RNA (HVUL_LNC017168)". The record is from RNAcentral. Lineage: Eukaryota; Viridiplantae; Streptophyta; Magnoliopsida; Poales; Poaceae.